GGGGGUGUGGCGGAACUGGCAGACGCAGCGGACUUAAAAUCCGCCGGCCCAAAGCCGUGAGGGUUCGAGUCCCUCCACCCCCA
Molecule: transfer RNA, 83 nt
Filed under: Aquificaceae bacterium
Lineage: Bacteria; Pseudomonadati; Aquificota; Aquificia; Aquificales; Aquificaceae
Also listed under: 2 other names
Description: tRNA-Leu
Rfam family: tRNA
About the family: Transfer RNA (tRNA) molecules are approximately 80 nucleotides in length. Their secondary structure includes four short double-helical elements and three loops (D, anti-codon, and T loops).
Source: RNAcentral